ACAACCGGGUUCCGUAGGUGAACCUGCGGAAGGAUCAUUACAGAGUUCAUGCCCGAAAGGGUAGACCUCCCACCCUUGUGUAUUAUUACUUUGUUGCUUUGGCGAGCUGCCUUCGGGCCUUGUAUGCUCGCCAGAGAAAACCAAAACUCUUUUUAUUAAUGUCGUCUGAGUACUAUAUAAUAGUUAAAACUUUCAACAACGGAUCUCUUGGUUCUGGCAUCGAUGAAGAACGCAGCGAAAUGCGAUAAGUAAUGUGAAUUGCAGAAUUCAGUGAAUCAUCGAAUCUUUGAACGCACAUUGCGCCCCUUGGUAUUCCGGGGGGCAUGCCUGUUCGAGCGUCAUUUCAACCCUCAAGCUUAGCUUGGUAUUGAGUCUAUGUCAGUAAUGGCAGGCUCUAAAAUCAGUGGCGGCGCCGCUGGGUCCUGAACGUAGUAAUAUCUCUCGUUACAGGUUCUCGGUGUGCUUCUGCCAAAACCCAAAUUUUUCUAUGGUUGACCUCGGAUCAGGUAGGGAUACCCGCUGAACUUAAGCAUAUCA
RNAcentral lists this ribosomal RNA (537 nucleotides) under Botrytis cinerea. Its description in RNAcentral is "eukaryotic LSU rRNA". The stretch from base 188 to 341 matches the Rfam family "5.8S ribosomal RNA". Lineage: Eukaryota; Fungi; Ascomycota; Leotiomycetes; Helotiales; Sclerotiniaceae. The record is from RNAcentral.